This 301-nucleotide ribosomal RNA is filed under the name uncultured bacterium. Its description in RNAcentral is "partial 16S ribosomal RNA". It matches the Rfam family "Bacterial small subunit ribosomal RNA", at positions 509 to 807 of the family's 1533-position model. The record is from RNAcentral.
CAGCAGCCACGGGAAUACGGAGGGUGCAAGCGUUAUCCGGAUUUAUUGGGUUUAAAGGGUCCGUAGGCGGAUCUGUAAGUCAGUGGUGAAAUCUCACAGCUUAACUGUGAAACUGCCAUUGAUACUGCAGGUCUUGAGUAAAUUUGAAGUGGCUGGAAUAAGUAGUGUAGCGGUGAAAUGCAUAGAUAUUACUUAGAACACCAAUUGCGAAGGCAGGUCACUAAGAUUUAACUGACGCUGAUGGACGAAAGCGUGGGGAGCGAACAGGAUUAGAUACCCCCGUAGUCCCUGUCUCUUAUAC